GGUGUUAUCCUGGGUCAUGAGCCAUCCUAACAGAUUAAGUCAUCCUAUUAUAGAGGCUACAAGAUGUUAAUAGCAAGCACAGAUAGAUGAGAGGUACAAAAACCUCCUUAGAUGGUAGGCCAAGGGUGCACCGAAGAGGUCCCAUGGACUGGGUUUUCUCUCUGGCUAAUUUGGAGUUCCUUUUGGAGCUGAGAGCAAACAUUGUGGGACUGGACAAAGCACAAAACCAGGCUGGAAAUCGAUGCUGUUUAAAAUAUCCUACAGAUCUCAUUGAAGAUGUGCUGAUUUGCACCUUAAACUACUGACUCAGCCCUUGGCAAAAAAAGUGUAAAAGUUUGCUCCAAUUUAGAGUAUUGUCUUUUCUGUGGCAUCUCAAUCCCUCCUAAAAGAGGCCACCCUUACACUCUUCUUCCAGGAUAAAUAGCAACACUGGCUUUUUCAGCCCAGGGACACAUAAUUGCCUAGAUCUCAUCUAGGAAUUAGCUGAGGAAAUGACCAGAAGUUGGCUACUGUAGGGAACUGAAUGUAUCCAACGUAGAGGUGAGGAUCAUCUGGGAGUCAUUCGGGAAUCCACCAAAACUAGACAGGGAAAUAUUUUGCUGGAAAGGGGAAGGGAAGCCCAUCUGAGGUUUAGCAGUGAUGGAGAGCUCUUCCCCUCUUCCUCUUCUGUCUCUAAGAAAUGUGUUCCUCUACCAGCAUUAUAGCAGCUAUUGACGAAGAAGGAGUCACAGUGAUGACACUGUUGGAAAACAUACGCAAUUUUUACCUGUUCUCCUUUUUCUCCUGCAUCCCCAGUUGUACCACGGUCUCCUUUAGCACCCUGAUAAUGAAAAAAAAGUAAUUGGUCACUUUAGAUUCAGUGUUGUGUCAGCUUUUUGACCCAUUUCAUAAAGCACUUGGACAUUUGCUCAUAAAACACAGAAUUAAGAACUGAACCCUGCUUGCUCUCCUCUUAAAUUCUGCCCUAGAUUUUCUCUACUAAUGUUGGAGACAGGAAUAUCUGGGAAAAUGGUCUUUGAACAGACCCAGCAUAGUCUUUUAUAUAUAUAUAUAUAUAUUUAUAUAUAGUCUCAGGGACAUGAAGAGGACAGACACAUCCUUAAAAAUAGACAGGUUGUUAGGCGAUGUACUAAGUGAGAUUUUGAUAAGGAAUCAUCUAGCCCAAAGAAGGCACCCACAGUAUGAGCUACCAAUCUCCUCUCCCUUCAGGGACAACAGCAACAAAAACGUCAUUUCCAAGGUGCAUUCAGAAAAUUAACACCCAUAAAGUGCCUCUCUCUCCCCAUUUCUCUCUCUGUCCUCAUG
Molecule: long non-coding RNA, 1305 nt
Filed under: Anser cygnoides (Swan goose)
Lineage: Eukaryota; Metazoa; Chordata; Aves; Anseriformes; Anatidae
Description: lncRNA (ENSACDG00005006808.1)
Source: RNAcentral